ACAUUAAGCAAAUAAAAUGCAUUAUUGUGUCAUCACAUGACACUUAAACUAUUUUAGAAAAGUGUGCAUUAAAACUGUAAAUGAUCCUCUGUUAAUAAUCAUACACCUUCAAAAUGAAUGCUUGCAUCAUCGUGUUUCCUUAUUCAGCGUCUUUCAACAUCUCCAGGCUCUAAAGACACUCUCUGGCGGGCAUCCUACACUAGUAUCCUGUUAGCUUGAGUGCUGGAUCAUCUAGUUCCAAGAUACUGAGAUCGAAUCUCGCUGGCCUGAGGAGGAGGAGUCUUUCUGCAGCAGCUGAAGGCCAAGAUUGGAUAGCUCCUUCUUUAUGCUCAUCAUGAUGUCAGAAUGGUUCUCGUACUGCCGUAGCUGAUUGGUCAGAGUCGCCACACUGUCUCUCACAAAGUCAUUCUCCCGAGAGAGGUUCAUCUUUAUCAUCUGCAUGAGAUAUGAACUGAAAUGCUCAGACAGAUGGACAAAGGAGAAGAAAAGAUGGAAAGAGUGAAGCAGACAGGAAUGGUGCAGAGGAAAGAGGACAGGUGCUAUAAAAACACACUUGCGAACACGUGCGCCGCAUACAUGCCCAGAAUUCUGCCGUUCAACAUUCUCAAGGGUUGAGAGAGGAGGGCGGAGCCGUGCAGGAGCAUUUACAGUCGGCUCCGGAACUCACCGUCUCCACCGUGUAAAAAUCUUCCACGCGCACACUUCCUGUCCGCAAGCGAGCGCAUGCGUCCCGG
This is a long non-coding RNA of Ctenopharyngodon idella (grass carp), 734 nucleotides long. RefSeq lists it as uncharacterized. The record is from RefSeq and is a predicted model, not a curated record. NCBI's taxonomy places the organism in Eukaryota, Metazoa, Chordata, Actinopteri, Cypriniformes, Xenocyprididae. The transcript is spliced from 5 exons.